Molecule: long non-coding RNA, 353 nt
Filed under: Homo sapiens (human)
Lineage: Eukaryota; Metazoa; Chordata; Mammalia; Primates; Hominidae
Description: non-protein coding lnc-MTNR1A-2:1
Source: RNAcentral
CUUUCCAAGAAGCCUCUAGAGGAAAAGCCUUCCCAGCCAUACAGUGCCCGGGAAAGCCUGUCUGAAGUGCAGUCUCUGAGCUCCUUCCAGUCCGAAUCGUGCGAUGACAAUCUUCCAUAGUGACCGUAAUGCACCUUGUCAAUGCUGUGGUUGACACGGUGAGCACAGAAAAUCUUUGGCUGCUCCUGACCUCAGCAAACCAAGAGGUAUCACUGGGAUACAUCAGAUUGGAUGCCAAGCGUUCCUCUGCCGGACAUACAAGAGUUCCCCAACUAUGAGGUGAUUGAUGAGCAGACACCCCUGUACUCAGCAGAUCCAAACGCCAUCGAUACGGACUAUUACCCUGGAGGCUA